CAAUAGCGUAUAUUAAAGUUGUUGCAGUUAAAAAGCUCGUAGUUGGAUUUCUGGUCGGAAGCUCCUGUCCUCUGAUGAGCGUACAAGUGCGUCCUACCAUCCUUCUGUUAACCUUUAAGGCUUUCGCGGCUUUCUAGGGGCUCAGAUAUUUUACCUUGAGAAAAUUAGGGUGUUUCAGGCAGGCUAGCGCCGGAAUACAUUAGCAUGGAAUAAUGGAAUAGGACUUUUGCCUCUUCUGUUGGUCAUGAGGCUCGAGUAAUGAUUAAUAGGGAUAGUUGGGGGCAUUAGUACUUAACUGUCAGAGGUGAAAUUCUCGGAUUUGUUAAAGACUAACUUAUGCGAAAGCAUUUGCCAAGGAUGUUUNCAUUA
Molecule: ribosomal RNA, 369 nt
Filed under: uncultured eukaryote
Lineage: Eukaryota
Description: partial 18S ribosomal RNA
Rfam family: Eukaryotic small subunit ribosomal RNA
Source: RNAcentral